Hemiscyllium ocellatum (epaulette shark) is the source of this 314-nucleotide long non-coding RNA. RefSeq lists it as uncharacterized. The record is from RefSeq and is a predicted model, not a curated record. The transcript is spliced from 3 exons. Lineage: Eukaryota; Metazoa; Chordata; Chondrichthyes; Orectolobiformes; Hemiscylliidae.
CCAGAGCUGGACAGAGUAUUCCAGAAGAGGCCUCCCCAACAUCUUGUACAUCCUCAACAUAACGUCCCAACUCCUGUACUCCAAGGUCUGAACAAUCAAGAUCCCAGUGAUUAAUGCCAAAGCCCUGUUGCCUGGGGAGAGGGUGAUGUUUGACUUUCUUGUACAGCUGCAGUCUGUGUGGUGAAGGUGCUCCCACAAUGUGGUUGGGAUGAGGCUAUCACUGGCUCGGCCAGCAUUUAUUGCUGCGUUUACCCAGUGGGCAGUUAAGAAUCAACCACGUUGCUAUAGGUCUGGAGUCCCAUGCAGACCAGACC